CUGCUCUUCUUAAAUGUGAUAUGAUGUAGCCAAUUUUGCUCCUUAGAUCCUUCUCCUCUCUUCUCUCUUUCGACCUCUCUCUUUGUUAUCUUCACCUUUCCUUUGUCCAUCUCUAUCUCCACCCGGUCAUCCAUGCGUCAGUCUAUCUCUCUCGCGCAGAUCCCUCCAUCUCUGUCUCCACAGAUCCUCCCUGCCUCUCUCUUCCCUCUGUUUUAUCUCUCUCUAAACCCUAAACCCUUUGGAUCUCUCUAUAUUCGAUCCAUCUGACAAACCCAAAACCAUUUAAAUCGACUCCUUCAAAUCGUCAUUCAGAUGGAGAAGAUGAAGACGAAGUACAAACAAACCCUAAGACAAAGCAAGCAGAUGAAGAAGAUGAACAAGGCAAAAGCUUGAGAUUGCUGAAAUCGUCUGAAAUCCAUCACGCGUCUUCAAAUCGAGCUCCUUCCAGAUCUCAUUCCGAAAUACUCCAAGGCUGAAGAACUUCGAAGGUGCUAGGGUUCCAUGUCUAUUCGAUCAUCUCCUUCCAGAAAUACUCCCAAGAGAGUUUGAAGAACACUUCGAAGGUGCGAUUGAAAGGUUUAAUCGAAGGUACUGCCGAUUGAUUCUCUCCUUCGAAGGUGCGAUUGAAGAGCUCCUUCCAGAUCUCAUUUCAAAAUACUCCAAGGCUGAAGAACUUCGAAGGUGCUAGGGUUCCAUGUCUAUUCAAUCAUCUCCUUCCAGAAAUACUCCCAAGAGAGUCUGAAGAACACUUCGAAGGUGCGAUUGAAAGGUUUAAUCGAAGGUGCUGCUGAUUGAUUCUCUCAUUCGAAGGUGCGAUUGAAGAGUUAAAUGUGGAAUUUACAUGUUUGGGAGGGAAGCCAAGGGAGGGUACAAGAGGCUUACAUGAAUUCCUCAAAGUGGUAGAAAUUGUUGUGACACUGAGCUUGCUGUGUACUUGCUUGAGAAUGCUGUGUUGCUCGACAAGAUAACUGUCAUUUCUAGACAUCCAUAUUACAUGUGAAGGUGGGAUUUAAAUGACCCAAUAGGUGAGGGAAAUGAUGCUGCUAGAGAACGUGCCAAGCAGCUGAAAACAAAACUACCCCUAGGCACUGAAUUAGUGAACUUAGAUUGCAAAAUUGUCAAUUAACUAUAAAUUGUUGGCUGUGGUGGCAUUGAUCUAUAUAUUGUGAGAAUAGUUAUGUUGUGUUAAAGGAAUAGUAUUAUCCAAUAGAGUUUUAUAAAGUUAUGUAUUAUGAUUUUGUUAAAGAGGGGGCUUUGAUGAUGUCUUCUUUUAUUUGCUACCAGAUAGUGAUGAUAUUGUUUGCAUAAUUUUUACUUGAUUA
Camellia sinensis is the source of this 1322-nucleotide non-coding RNA. The record is from RefSeq and is a predicted model, not a curated record. Lineage: Eukaryota; Viridiplantae; Streptophyta; Magnoliopsida; Ericales; Theaceae.